GAUGAACGCUGGCGGCGUGCCUAAUACAUGCAAGUCGAGCGAACGGACGAGAAGCUUGCUGCGCGGUUGUUAGCGGCGGACGGGAGAGUAACACGUGGAUAACCUACCUAUAAUACGGGGAAAACUUCGGGAAACCGUAGCUAAUACCGGAGAAUAUUUUGAACCGCAGGGUGCGAAAGUGAAAGACGGUCGUGCUGGCAGUUCUAGAUGCAUCCGCGCUGCUUUAGCUAGUUGGGAAGGUAACGGCUUACGAAGGCAACGAUGCAUAGCCGAGCUGAGAGGGUGAUCGGCCACACUGGAACUGAGCCACGGUCCAGACUCCUACGGGAGGCAGCAGUAGGGAAUCUGCCGCAAUAGGCGGAAGCCUGACGCAGUGACGCCGCGUGAGUGAUGACGGUCUUCGGAUCGUAAAACUCUGUUAUUAGGGAAGAACAUAUGUGUAAGUAACUGUGCACAUCUUGACGGUAACUAGUCAGAAAGCCACGGCUAACUACGUG
This 497-nucleotide ribosomal RNA is filed under the name uncultured bacterium. RNAcentral describes it as "partial 16S ribosomal RNA". It matches the Rfam family "Bacterial small subunit ribosomal RNA", at positions 28 to 507 of the family's 1533-position model. The record is from RNAcentral.